CCUACGGGUGGCAGCAGUGAGGAAUAUUGGUCAAUGGGCGCGAGCCUGAACCAGCCAAGUCGCGUGAAGGAUGACUGCCCUACGGGUUGUAAACUUCUUUUAUAAAGGAAUAAAGUGAGGCACGUGUGCCGUUUUGUAUGUACUUGAUGAAUAAGGAUCGGCUAACUCCGUGCCAGCAGCCGCGGUAAUACGGAGGAUCCGAGCGUUAUCCGGAUUUAUUGGGUUUAAUGGGUGCGUAGGUGGGUUGUUAAGUCAGUUGUGAAAGUUUGCGGCUCAACCGUAAAAUUGCAAUUGAUACUGGCAGUCUUGAGUACAGGUGAGGUAGGCGGAAUGCGUGGUAUAGCGGUGAAAUGCUUAGAUAUCACGAAGAACUCCGAUUGCGAAGGCAGCUUACUAAACUGCCACUGACAUUGAUGCUCGAAAGUGUGGGUAUCAAACAGGAUUAGAUACCCGAGUAGUC
This 460-nucleotide ribosomal RNA is filed under the name uncultured bacterium. RNAcentral's name for it is "partial 16S ribosomal RNA". It matches the Rfam family "Bacterial small subunit ribosomal RNA", at positions 338 to 795 of the family's 1533-position model. The record is from RNAcentral.